UACGUAGGGUGCGAGCGUUGUCCGGAAUUACUGGGCGUAAAGAGCUCGUAGGUGGUUUGUCGCGUUGUUCGUGAAAACUCACAGCUCAACUGUGGGCGUGCGGGCGAUACGGGCAGACUAGAGUACUGCAGGGGAGACUGGAAUUCCUGGUGUAGCGGUGGAAUGCGCAGAUAUCAGGAAGAACACCCGUGGCGAAAGCGGCUCUCUGGAACGGUACUGACGCUGAGACGCGAAAGCGUGGGGAGCGAACAGG
This 253-nucleotide ribosomal RNA is filed under the name uncultured bacterium. Its description in RNAcentral is "partial 16S ribosomal RNA". It matches the Rfam family "Bacterial small subunit ribosomal RNA", at positions 524 to 776 of the family's 1533-position model. The record is from RNAcentral.